This 837-nucleotide long non-coding RNA is filed under the name Olea europaea subsp. europaea. Lineage: Eukaryota; Viridiplantae; Streptophyta; Magnoliopsida; Lamiales; Oleaceae. The record is from RNAcentral.
UGGAUACCAGGAUGUUCAUCAAGUUGUUGAUUCUUUUGAAUUUGAACUCAUUGAUAAGCUGGCUGAUUUUAUCCGUUAUGAUUGGUAUAAGGAGCAUGGCAUUAUAUUUUUAGAGGUAGCUUUCACGUCAUUAAAAAUAAGAUUAUGUUUGUUAAAAAUAUAUAUUUAAAGUUGACUACUAGCAAUUUGUAGUUCAUCACUUGAAUAUAAAUGUUUCCACAGUAGGAUUUUAGAAAGUUCUGGUGUAUCUCUGAAUGAAGGAAAGCUGAGAAAAGAUCAAUUCAUGGAUAAAGGAAGCCACAGUAAACAACUUGAUAAAAGGUAUCCCAUUUCCAAAUCAAUAGAAUUAGAGAAUUAUUUAUUGUGCUUGAUCUUAAAACAUUGAGACUGUCUAGUUAACAAAGUUGACAACAAGCAUGCUUAUUCUCGAAACUAAAGCACUCUAAACUGCACAGCACAAUGUUUGCAUGCUAUGUGAGGGAAUAAUAUUAACAGAAUUAAGAAGGGCAUUGUGAAACUCACAUUACCAACAUAUAUUGAACAGGAAUCCACCUCCUCCUUUUCUGCCUGAGUCGCAGAGGCAUCAGUUAAAUCUUCUAACAUGUCAUAAACAAAUGUUACAGUUAGUUGUGAGUCACCCGUUCAAUAUAAAAACCAAUUGUGAAUAAAAAAGCCACAUUAUCAAAUUAAGAAAAAUGGAAAGUAUGCUCUCUUGCGCAGAUUCUACAAACACAACACAAAUGUUGUGUAAUUUGUCGUUUAUUUUGCAGUUAUUUAAUUUAUUUCUAAUUUUUUUUGAAGUACAGCCCAUAUUUGACUCAUUUGCAAGUGUAACGC